UACGUAGGGGGCAAGCGUUGUCCGGAAUUAUUGGGCGUAAAGCGCGCGCAGGCGGCCUGUUAAGUCGGAUGUGAAAGACCACGGCUCAACCGUGGGGGUGCAUCCGAAACUGGCGGGCUUGAGUGCAGGAGAGGGGAGUGGAAUUCCCGGUGUAGCGGUGGAAUGCGUAGAGAUCGGGAGGAACACCAGUGGCGAAGGCGGCUCUCUGGCCUGUAACUGACGCUGAGGCGCGAAAGCGUGGGGAGCAAACAGG
This 253-nucleotide ribosomal RNA is filed under the name uncultured bacterium. RNAcentral describes it as "partial 16S ribosomal RNA". It matches the Rfam family "Bacterial small subunit ribosomal RNA", at positions 524 to 776 of the family's 1533-position model. The record is from RNAcentral.